Non-coding RNA from Araneus ventricosus, 75 nucleotides. NCBI's taxonomy places the organism in Eukaryota, Metazoa, Arthropoda, Arachnida, Araneae, Araneidae. The record is from the annotation of a GenBank genome assembly.
UGGCAGUACAAGAAUAGAACUGGGAACCUUUCGGUUCCGAGCAGAAGAUCCUAACCACUAGACAAAAGGACUUCC